Molecule: ribosomal RNA, 558 nt
Filed under: Saccharomyces cerevisiae (brewer's yeast)
Lineage: Eukaryota; Fungi; Ascomycota; Saccharomycetes; Saccharomycetales; Saccharomycetaceae
Description: eukaryotic LSU rRNA
Rfam family: Eukaryotic large subunit ribosomal RNA
Source: RNAcentral
AGUUGAAAAGCCGGCAAAAGCUCAAAUUUGAAAUCUGGUACCUUCGGUGCCCGAGUUGUAAUUUGGAGAGGGCAACUUUGGGGCCGUUCCUUGUCUAUGUUCCUUGGAACAGGACGUCAUAGAGGGUGAGAAUCCCGUGUGGCGAGGAGUGCGGUUCUUUGUAAAGUGCCUUCGAAGAGUCGAGUUGUUUGGGAAUGCAGCUCUAAGUGGGUGGUAAAUUCCAUCUAAAGCUAAAUAUUGGCGAGAGACCGAUAGCGAACAAGUACAGUGAUGGAAAGAUGAAAAGAACUUUGAAAAGAGAGUGAAAAAGUACGUGAAAUUGUUGAAAGGGAAGGGCAUUUGAUCAGACAUGGUGUUUUGUGCCCUCUGCUCCUUGUGGGUAGGGGAAUCUCGCAUUUCACUGGGCCAGCAUCAGUUUUGGUGGCAGGAUAAAUCCAUAGGAAUGUAGCUUGCCUCGGUAAGUAUUAUAGCCUGUGGGAAUACUGCCAGCUGGGACUGAGGACUGCGACGUAAGUCAAGGAUGCUGGCAUAAUGGUUAUAUGCCGCCCGUCUUGAACC